RNAcentral lists this ribosomal RNA (271 nucleotides) under uncultured archaeon. RNAcentral's name for it is "partial 16S ribosomal RNA". It matches the Rfam family "Archaeal small subunit ribosomal RNA", at positions 477 to 747 of the family's 1478-position model. The record is from RNAcentral.
CAGCGCCACGAGUGGCAACCAUAUUUAUUGGGCCUAAAGCGUCCGUAGCCGGUUUGAUAAGUCUUUUGUGAAAUCGUUGCGCUCAACGUAACGUUGUGCAAGAGAUACUGUCAGACUUGGAAUUGGGAAGAGUUAGAGGUAUUCUGGGGGGAGCGGUAAAAUGCUAUAAUCCCUGGAGGACCACCAGUGGCGAAAGCGUCUAACUAGAACAACUUCGACGGUGAGGGACGAAAGCCAGGGGAGCAAAACGGAUUAGAGACCCGAGUAGUCC